CCUACGGGUGGCAGCAGUGGGGAAUAUUGCGCAAUGGGGGCAACCCUGACGCAGCCAUGCCGCGUGAAUGAAGAAGGCCUUCGGGUUGUAAAGUUCUUUCGGUAUCGAGGAAGGCUGAUGUAAUAAUAGUGCAGGAAAUUGACGUUAAAUACAGAAGAAGCACCGGCUAACUCCGUGCCAGCAGCCGCGGUAAUACGGAGGGUGCGAGCGUUAAUCGGAAUAACUGGGCGUAAAGGGCACGCAGGCGGUUAUUUAAGUGAGGUGUGAAAGCCCCGGGCUUAACCUGGGAAUUGCAUUUCAGACUGGGUAACUAGAGUGCUUUAGGGAGGGGUAGAAUUCCACGGGUAGCGGUGAAAUGCGUAGAGAUGUGGAGGAAUACCGAAGGCGAAGGCAGCCCCUUGGGAAUGUACUGACGCUCAUGUGCGAAAGCGUGGGGAGCAAACAGGAUUAGAUACCCUGGUAGUC
Molecule: ribosomal RNA, 465 nt
Filed under: uncultured Haemophilus sp.
Lineage: Bacteria; Pseudomonadati; Pseudomonadota; Gammaproteobacteria; Pasteurellales; Pasteurellaceae
Description: bacterial SSU rRNA
Rfam family: Bacterial small subunit ribosomal RNA
Source: RNAcentral